AGCUCCAAUAGCGUAUAUUAAAGUUGUUGCAGUUAAAAAGCUCGUAGUUGAACUUUAGGCCCGGUUGGAUGGUCUGCUCUAGGGUUUGUACUGUCCUGACUGGGUCUUACCUUCUGGUGAGCUGUCGUGUUGUUUACUCAGUGCGGCAGGGAACCAGGACUUUUACUUUGAACAAAUUGGAGUGUUUCACGCGGGCAUUUGCUUGAACACAUUAGCAUGGAAUAAUAGAAUAGGACUUUGGUUCUAUUUUGUUGGUUUCUAGGACCGAAGUAAUGAUUAAUAGGGAUAGUUGGGGGCAUUAGUAUUUAAUUGUCAGAGGUGAAAUUCUUGGAUUUAUGAAAGACUAACUACUGCGAAAGCAUUUGCCAAGGAUGUUUUCA
Molecule: ribosomal RNA, 380 nt
Filed under: uncultured eukaryote
Lineage: Eukaryota
Description: SSU rRNA
Rfam family: Eukaryotic small subunit ribosomal RNA
Source: RNAcentral